Molecule: ribosomal RNA, 401 nt
Filed under: uncultured Glomeromycotina
Lineage: Eukaryota; Fungi; Glomeromycota
Description: SSU rRNA
Rfam family: Eukaryotic small subunit ribosomal RNA
Source: RNAcentral
AGCAGCCGCGGUAAUUCCAGCUCCAAUAGCGUAUAUUAAAGUUGUUGCAGUUAAAAAGCUCGUAGUUGAAUUUCGGGGUUAGCAGGUUGGUCGUGCCACUGGUAUGUACUGGCCUUGCUGAUUCCUCCCUCUUGAUGAGCCGUAAUGCCAUUAAUUUGGUGUUGCGAGGAAUCAGGACUGUUACUUUGAAAAAUUAGAGUGUUUAAAGCAGGCAAGCGCUUGAAUACAUUAGCAUGGAAUAAUGAAAUAGGACGUUUGAUCUUAUUUUGUUGGUUUCUAAGAUUGACGUAAUGAUUAAUAGGGAUAGUUGGGGGCAUUAGUAUUCAAUUGUCAGAGGUGAAAUUCUUGGAUUUAUUGAAGACUAACUACUGCGAAAGCAUUUGCCAAGGAUGUUUUCAUUA